This 464-nucleotide long non-coding RNA is filed under the name Rattus norvegicus (Norway rat). Its description in RNAcentral is "long non-coding RNA NONRATT023746". Lineage: Eukaryota; Metazoa; Chordata; Mammalia; Rodentia; Muridae. The record is from RNAcentral.
CGCCCGGUCCCCUUCCCAUGUCCCCCGUCCUCCCUCGGUUCUCGUGGACGCUCGCGGGCGGGGACAUCCCGGUGCUUGCGGGCGGCGGGCCGCGAGGGAGGGAUUGCCGGGUUCGCGUGCGCCCGCCGGCCCGGGUUCUGAGGGGAACGAGGCGGGGUCGCGGCCAGGUUUGGGGCCGGAAUGGCGGCGAGGCGCGGCCCGGGAUGGCGGCGGCUGAGGGCACAGCCCGGCCGAGCUGUCAGCGGCGGCGAGAGGACCGGGCACACCCAUCCCACACGUUCCCCUCCCCCUCCGGCUGCCCGCGGGCUCUAGAGGCCCCGGGGCGCGGGGUGGGGGGACGUAUGGUCAGGACCGGGGUCGGAGGCCGGGGGCUGUCUCUGCGCUGUGGGCCUCGACUUCCUGCUUCCCGGGCUCCGCCGCGGACGCGUUGCGGCUGGCGGGGGAGGGGAGCGGAACUGCGGCCG